CUGACGGAGAGUUUGAUCCUGGCUCAGGACGAACGCUGGCGGCGUGCUUAACACAUGCAAGUCGAGCGGGGGCCAUCCGGUGGCAACACUGGGGAAGCCCUAGCGGCGAACGGGUGAGUAACACGUGAGGAACCUGCCCUGAAGUCUGGGAUAACUCGGGGAAACCCGAGCUAAUACCGGAUACCUUCACCGGACCGCAUGAUUUGGUGAAGAAAGAUUCAUCGCUUUGGGAGGGCCUCGCGGCCUAUCAGCUUGUUGGUGAGGUAACGGCUCACCAAGGCAUCGACGGGUAGCUGGUCUGAGAG
Molecule: ribosomal RNA, 305 nt
Filed under: Acidimicrobiia bacterium
Lineage: Bacteria; Bacillati; Actinomycetota; Acidimicrobiia
Description: partial 16S ribosomal RNA
Rfam family: Bacterial small subunit ribosomal RNA
Source: RNAcentral